Molecule: long non-coding RNA, 332 nt
Filed under: Bos taurus (domestic cattle)
Lineage: Eukaryota; Metazoa; Chordata; Mammalia; Artiodactyla; Bovidae
Description: long non-coding RNA NONBTAT006719
Source: RNAcentral
ACUGUAAAGCAAUUAUACUUUGGAAAACUGAAUUAAGUUGAAUUUUUGAAAACUUGAUUCUAUGCUAAUGUCACCGCAGAUGUUUGCUACUUAAGUGACCCUAACAAUAAAUGUUUUGGGGGAAAAAAAAAACCACAGCUCUACUCACAAACCUUUUCAGAGCAUAUUGUUAAAAUCGGGGGCAUCUACAGGGAGUGAUUUUUAAAGAGUCUGAAGUGUUUCCAUAGCAUUUCUAUAAUGGAAAUUGCCUUUUCAUGAAACCUCCAGAUACCAAGAUGAUAUUGCUUAAUGGCAUUAGCAUCCUGUGAACUCUGAGUUAUUGUCCAAGUAUC